This 17-nucleotide unclassified non-coding RNA is filed under the name Escherichia coli. RNAcentral's name for it is "RNA (5'-R(*GP*CP*AP*GP*AP*CP*UP*GP*UP*AP*AP*AP*UP*CP*UP*GP*C)-3') from Escherichia coli (PDB 5T8Y, chain X)". Lineage: Bacteria; Pseudomonadati; Pseudomonadota; Gammaproteobacteria; Enterobacterales; Enterobacteriaceae. The record is from RNAcentral.
GCAGACUGUAAAUCUGC